This is a long non-coding RNA of Pseudophryne corroboree (corroboree frog), 426 nucleotides long. RefSeq lists it as uncharacterized. Lineage: Eukaryota; Metazoa; Chordata; Amphibia; Anura; Myobatrachidae. The transcript has 3 exons. The record is from RefSeq and is a predicted model, not a curated record.
GCACGGCUGCUCCUCACAGAGAGCUCUCAGCAGAGCUCUCUGCAGCGCUGGAUACACUGCAGGCAGCAGAGGGAGCUACUGAGUAUGUGCAGCAGCAGCACCGCUCACAUGGACUCCGGCAGUGACAAUCUCCACCAGCUCCUCUUCUCUCUUGAACAGAAAAUGGCAAGCGCUCUUCCUACCACCGGCAUUCUUCCGCAAUUUAUGGAGAAGCAAUAAUACAACCAGUAUCCUGUUCAUCUACUGAAAAACGUGCCAUGGGUUUAUUAUGGAAAGCCCAUUUUUCCCUGCAAAUUUGCCAUGCUGGGGAAGCCGGCUGAAGAAGGAAUGCAGCAGCUGACACUUGUAAAAAAAACAAUAUUUAAAUAAAUACAGUGCACACAACUGAAUGUGGAAACCAUUUAUUAAAAAAAUCACUCCCAUGAA